AGCCCAACUCUAGCCCAACCCCCACAACCAACAAACUUAAAAAUCCACUCAUCCUCUAAACCAAAACAUUCUCCCAACUUAGUAUAGGCGAUAGAAAAGUUUACUAGGCGCGAUAGAGACCCGUACCGUAAGGGAAAGAUGAAAUAGCAGUGAACAAGCCAAGCAAUAAAAAGCAAAGAUAGACCCUUGUACCUCUUGCAUCAUGAUUUAGCAAGAACAACCAAGCAAAACGAACUUAAGCUUGCCAUCCCGAAACCCAAGCGAGCUACUUACGAGCAGCUAUCCUUUGAGCGAACCCGUCUCUGUUGCAAAAGAGUGGGAUGACUUGUCAGUAGAGGUGAAAAGCCAACCGAGCUGGGUGAUAGCUGGUUACCUGUGAGCGAAUCUAAGUUCUACCUUGGACCCCCCC
RNAcentral lists this ribosomal RNA (409 nucleotides) under Ptilinopus rivoli. RNAcentral's name for it is "partial 16S ribosomal RNA". It matches the Rfam family "Bacterial large subunit ribosomal RNA", at positions 53 to 893 of the family's 2925-position model. Lineage: Eukaryota; Metazoa; Chordata; Aves; Columbiformes; Columbidae. The record is from RNAcentral.